This 580-nucleotide long non-coding RNA is filed under the name Phoenix dactylifera (date palm). Its description in RNAcentral is "long non-coding RNA (PDAC_LNC018237)". Lineage: Eukaryota; Viridiplantae; Streptophyta; Magnoliopsida; Arecales; Arecaceae. The record is from RNAcentral.
GCAAUACUGAAACUAAUACUUUUGGUGUCCAACAUUAAGGUAAGAUUUUCUCUCUGUAGACGAAAUCAAUUGAUCAGGACCAUGAACCAAAGAAUAUUAAUUAAACUAGGAAGGUUCUCACAGGCAAACAAUCUCCACCAAGAAAGUUCUUGAACUGUAUUGUUUGUCAUUACAAAAUCAGCUUUCUUCAGUAGGUAUGCAAAAUUUUAUCGUUACAAAUGAGAAUUUUUAGGGAAGCACUAAAUCAGUUAGAAUAUAGAGAUUCUGCUGUAUCUUCUAUUUCACUAAGGCAUCAUGAGUAAGCUUAGAAAACCAUUUUAAUUGUCUAUGCAGCUUUUCUUUCUUUUUUGUGUAAGAAGAUCUGAGAGGGAUUAAAAUCUUGAUUUAGAUGGACCAGCCUGUUUGCUAUUAUGUAAAGGUCAUCUGGAUAUAAUAGUCUAUAUUUAGGAGUUCAAAUGAGAAAACUUCUGAGUAUAUAUAUUUGUUUCCUCCUCAAGUUUAUCAUUCCCCAACUUCUCAUUCAAAUUUUAGAUUGAUGCAGUCAAAUGUUGAAAUACAUUGGCAUCAUGCUUUGUAUUAG